AUAUGCCUUAAGGUGGGGGACAACAGUUGGAAACGACUGCUAAUACCGCAUAAUGUCUACGGACCAAAGGAGGGGCUCUUCGGACCUUUCGCCUUUUGAUUAGCCCAAGUGAGAUUAGCUAGUAGGUAAGGUAAUGGCUUACCUAGGCGACGAUCUCUAGCUGGUUUGAGAGGAUGAUCAGCCACACUGGGACUGAGACACGGCCCAGACUCCUACGGGAGGCAGCAGUGGGGAAUAUUGCACAAUGGGCGGAAGCCUGAUGCAGCCAUGCCGCGUGUGUGAAGAAGGCCUUCGGGUUGUAAAGCACUUUCAGUCGUGAGGAAAGGUAUUCGUUUAAUAAACGGAUACUGUGACGUUAGCGACAGAAGAAGGACCGGCUAACUCCGUGCCAGCAGCCGCGGUAAUACGGAGGGUGCGAGCGUUAAUCGGAAUUACUGGGCGUAAAGCGUACGCAGGCGGUUUGUUAAGCCAGAUGUGAAAGCCCCGGGCUCAACCUGGGAAUUGCAUUUGGAACUGGGUAACUAGAGUCUUGUAGAGGGAGGUAGAAUUUCAGGUGUAGCGGUGAAAUGCGUAGAUAUCUGAAGGAAUACCGGUGGCGAAAGGCGGCCUCCUGGACAAAGACUGACGCUCAUGCACGAAAGCGUGGGGAGCGAACAG
RNAcentral lists this ribosomal RNA (657 nucleotides) under uncultured bacterium. RNAcentral describes it as "bacterial SSU rRNA". It matches the Rfam family "Bacterial small subunit ribosomal RNA", at positions 124 to 775 of the family's 1533-position model. The record is from RNAcentral.